RNAcentral lists this ribosomal RNA (1447 nucleotides) under uncultured bacterium. Its description in RNAcentral is "bacterial SSU rRNA". It matches the Rfam family "Bacterial small subunit ribosomal RNA". The record is from RNAcentral.
AGAGUUUGAUCCUGGCUCAGAACGUACGCUGGCGGCACGCCUAACACAUGCAAGUCGAACGAAGUAGCAAUACUUAGUGGCAAACGGGUGAGUAACAUGUGGGUAUCUGCCCUUUGGCCUGGAAUAACACGAGGAAACUUGUGCUAAUACCGGAUAAGUCUUUUAAGAGAAAGCUUUAUGCACCAAUGGAUGAGCCCGCACCUGAUUAGUUAGUUGGUGGGGUAAUGGCUUACCAAGACAAUGAUCAGUAGCUGAUUUGAGAGGAUGAUCAGCCACAUUGGGACUGAGACACGGCCCAAACUCCUACGGGAGGCAGCAGUGGGGAAUCUUGCACAAUGGGGGAAACCCUGAUGCAGCGAUGCCGCGUGAGUGAAGAAGGCCCUUGGGUUGUAAAGCUCUUUCGUCGGGGAAGAAAAUGACUGUACCCGAAUAAGAAGGUCCGGCUAACUUCGUGCCAGCAGCCGCGGUAAUACGAAGGGACCUAGCGUAGUUCGGAAUUACUGGGCUUAAAGAGUUCGUAGGUGGUUAAAAUAGUUGGUGGUGAAAUCCCAGAGCUUAACUCUGGAACUGCCAUCAAAACUUUUUAGCUAGAGUAUGAUAGAGGAAAGUAGAAUUUCUAGUGUAGAGGUGAAAUUCGUAGAUAUUAGAAAGAAUACCAAUUGCGAAGGCAGCUUUCUGGAUCAUUACUGACACUGAGGAACGAAAGCAUGGGUAGCGAAGAGGAUUAGAUACCCUCGUAGUCCAUGCCGUAAACGAUGUGUGCUAGACGUUGGAAAUUUUAUUUUCAGUGUCGCAGCAAAAGCGAUAAGCACACCGCCUGGGGAGUACGACCGCAAGGUUAAAACUCAAAUGAAUUGACGGGGACCCGCACAAGUAGUGGAGCAUGUGGUUUAAUUCGAAGAUACGCGCAGAACCUUACCAACACUUGACAUGUUCGUCGCGACUCUAAGAGAUUAGAGUUUUCGGUUCGGCCGGACGAAACACAGGUGCUGCAUGGCUGUCGUCAGCUCGUGUCGUGAGAUGUUGGGUUAAGUCCCGCAACGAGCGCAACCCUCACUUUUAGUUGCUACCAUUUAGUUGGGCACUCUGAAAGAACUGCCAGUGAUAAGCUGGAGGAAGGUGGGGAUGACGUCAAGUCCUCAUGGCCCUUACGUGUUGGGCUACACACGUGCUACAAUGGCAUCUACAACAGGAAGCAAGAAUGCGAAUUUAAGCAAAUCCUUAAAAGAUGCCUCAGUUCGGAUUGUACUCUGCAACUCGAGUACAUGAAGCUGGAAUUACUAGUAAUCGCGGAUCAGCGUGCCGCGGUGAAUACGUUCCCGGGUCUUGUACACACCGCCCGUCACACCAUGGGAGUUGGUUCUACCUUAAGGCAAAAUGUUAACCUUCGGGAAGCAUUUGACCACGGUAUAGUCAGCGACUGGGGUGAAGUCGUAACAAGGUAACC